UUGAGCUCAGAUCAGGUAGGACUACCGCCUGAACUUAAGCAUAUCAAUAAGGCGAGGAACAGAAACCAACAGGGAUUCCCCUAGUAGUGGCGAAUGAAGCGGGAAAAGCUCAAGUUUGAAAUCUGGCGGGCGACCUCCAGAGUUGUAAGCUGAAGAGGCGUAGACCGACGCGGUCCGGGCUCAAUUUCCUUGGAACAGGAGGUCAUGGAGGGUGAGAACCCCGUCUGUGGCUCGGGAGCCGUCGUCCUUGUGUCUUGCCCUCGUAGAGUCGGGUUGUUUGGGAAUGCAGCUCAAAAUGGGUGGUAAAUUUCAUCUAAGGCUAAAUAUUGGCGAGAGACCGAUAGCAAACAAGUAGAGUGAUCGAAAGAUGAAAAGUACUUUGAAAAGAGAGUGAAACAGUACGUGAAAUUGUUGAAAGGGAAGCGUUUGGCAUCAGCCCAUGGCUCCCAAAGAUCAUCUGGGCUUCUGUCCAGUGCACUUUUUGGGAGUCGGGCCAGCGUCGACUUUGCCCGCCGGAGAAAGGCCUUGGGGAUGUGGCUCCCUUCGGGGAGCGUUAUAACCCUCGGCGUCAUGCGGUGUGGUGGGGUCGAGGUCCGCGGUUAUCCUAGGACGCUGGCGUAAUGGUUCCAAGCGA
This 634-nucleotide ribosomal RNA is filed under the name uncultured fungus. RNAcentral's name for it is "eukaryotic LSU rRNA". It matches the Rfam family "Eukaryotic large subunit ribosomal RNA", at positions 1 to 647 of the family's 3401-position model. Lineage: Eukaryota; Fungi. The record is from RNAcentral.